RNAcentral lists this ribosomal RNA (433 nucleotides) under uncultured bacterium. RNAcentral's name for it is "partial 16S ribosomal RNA". It matches the Rfam family "Bacterial small subunit ribosomal RNA", at positions 29 to 507 of the family's 1533-position model. The record is from RNAcentral.
AACGAACGCUGGCGGCAUGCCUAACACAUGCAAGUCGAACGAUCCCUUCGGGGAUAGUGGCGCACGGGUGCGUAACGCGUGGGAACCUGCCCUUAGGUUCGGAAUAACUCAGAGAAAUUUGAGCUAAUACCGGAUAAUGUCUUCGGACCAAAGAUUUAUCGCCUUUGGAUGUGCCCGCGUUGGAUUAGCUAGUUGGUGGGGUUAAGGCCUACCAAGGCGACGAUUCCUAGCUGGUCUGAGAGGAUGAUCAGCCACACUGGGACGUAGACACGGCCCAGACUCCUACGGGAGGCAGCAGUGGGGAAUAUAGGAAAAUGGGCGAAAGGCUGAUCCUGCAAUGCCGCGUGAGUGAUGAAGACCUGAGAGUUGUAAAGCUCUAUUACCCGGGAUGAUAAUGACAGUACCGGGAGAAUAAGCCCCGGCUAACUACGUG